GAUGAACGCUGGCGGCGUGCCUAAUACAUGCAAGUCGAGCGAACGGACGAGAAGCUUGCUUCUCUGAUGUUAGCGGCGGACGGUGAGUAACACGUGGAUAACCUACCUAUAAGUCUGGGAUAACUUCGGGAAACCGGAGCUAAUACCGGAUAAUAUUUUGAACCGCAUGGUUCAAAAGUAAAAGACGGUCUUGCUGUCACUUAUAGAUGGAUCCGCGCUGCAUUAGCUAGUUGGUAAGGUAACGGCUUACCAAGGCAACGAUGCAUAGCCGAACUGAGAGGGUGAUCGGCCACACUGGAACUGAGACACGGUCCAGACUCCUACGGGAGGCAGCAGUAGGGAAUCUUCGGCAAUGGGCGAAAGCCUGACGGAGCAACGCCGCGUGAGUGAUGAAGGUCUUCGGAUCGUAAAACUCUGUUAUUAGGGAAGAACAUAUGUGUAAGUAACUGUGCACAUCUUGACGGUACCUAAUCAGAAAGCCACGGCUAACUACGUG
Molecule: ribosomal RNA, 496 nt
Filed under: uncultured bacterium
Lineage: Bacteria
Description: partial 16S ribosomal RNA
Rfam family: Bacterial small subunit ribosomal RNA
Source: RNAcentral